RNAcentral lists this long non-coding RNA (846 nucleotides) under Pongo abelii (Sumatran orangutan). RNAcentral's name for it is "lincRNA". The record is from RNAcentral. Lineage: Eukaryota; Metazoa; Chordata; Mammalia; Primates; Hominidae.
CUGACAGUUUGGCUUCCCUGUUCCAGGUGGCAAAGCCUGUGGGGUAUUCACCUACCUGCUGCAUGAAGGCAGCAUGGAGGGACUGUGGUGGAUUAUCUGCAAAGAUGGCCCAAAUUCUCUCAUCCCUGCAGGUACAUACAAGCCAGGUUUCCAGAAGUUCCCUAGUCAUUGGGCAUUUCUGAGACUCUUGAUGCAUAUGCCAAGUAGUUAUGGAGAAAGACAUAGCCGCUUACCUCUGCAGGCAUCAUUGUGUGAAAGGAAGACCGAGGCUGUCUCACCACCCUUGAAGAGAAGCCUUUUGCUAAGGAGUUUGCAGUUCACCCGCAAACCUCAGCGAUCCAAGCUCCCCUGGAUGACCAUCACUCACCUAGAAAAGAACAAUAACAGGACCUGUUUUGCUAAUCCAGGACUGUUCUCCAGCACUAACUCUAAAUAAUCCCUUCUGUUAGAGUCCACUUUCUGGAACCUGUUGCCUCCGUUUUCAACGUUUCCCAAACUUGGUCCGUUGUGUGAGUUGGCUGUUAAAAGUUCCAGGGAGAGGACAUCUUAUUCUUAUUGGAUCACGCACAGUGCCUGAAGCAUUCUGUUGCAUGUAGAAAUCAGUAAAUUGCAGAUGUAAGAUUCAAAACGAGACUUCACAUCUACCGACUUCAGUGAUCCUGAAAUUUGUCCACAGAGAGCAUUUAACAUAACUGUCUUCAUCAUCUCCUUCUCUAAUUAAAAACUAUGGAAAAGUUGCUAAAACCGCUGUGAGAUUCUGGCUAAGAAAAUUUCAUGAGAAGUUUUACAGAAAAAUGUGAACAGAAGAAAGAACUAGAUAUAAAUUUGAAUGGUAAUCUAAAUAAA